GGGGCGUUAGCUCAGUUGGCUAGAGCGCUAGGCUGGCAGUCUCGAGGUCAUGGGUUCGACUCCCAUACGCUCCA
This 74-nucleotide transfer RNA is filed under the name Bacteroidota bacterium. Its description in RNAcentral is "Bacteroidetes bacterium (biofilm metagenome) tRNA-Ala". It matches the Rfam family "tRNA". Rfam says of the family: Transfer RNA (tRNA) molecules are approximately 80 nucleotides in length. Their secondary structure includes four short double-helical elements and three loops (D, anti-codon, and T loops). The record is from RNAcentral. Lineage: Bacteria; Pseudomonadati; Bacteroidota.